RNAcentral lists this long non-coding RNA (2864 nucleotides) under Nasonia vitripennis (jewel wasp). Its description in RNAcentral is "uncharacterized LOC116416602". The record is from RNAcentral. Lineage: Eukaryota; Metazoa; Arthropoda; Insecta; Hymenoptera; Pteromalidae.
UUGCCAGUUCGCCAAUAUUAUUUUCGGACUCAAGAGAAUAUAGAUAACUCAUUCGACAUGGGAGAGCACUCAUUUCAUGAAAAAGAAAGGCACAAUGAUAACUCUAUUCAGCAUCGACUGUCCGAAUCAAGACCAAAGUUCAAGCCUGUGCUGGUGAAGAAGUUGUCAGCUGAGGAGAGUGACGAUGAUAACGAUGAUCCAUACGGUCAACUUCAAAUCAUUCAAACGAAGUUUCAGAAGUUUCAUGAUUUUAAAGGUGAUUUUCAACCGCUUUCUGAGGAAACUGCUGACAAUUCCAAAACCUAACCUAGUUUAAUUGCUAAUAGUUAAAGUAGAUGUUGCAGUCAAGGAUGAAGCCGCUGUUGCUACUGUUAGUGUUACAAGCACUGUUCAAAAGGUUGAGGAAAGAUUCUUUGAGAAUUAGAGUAUGUAGUAAAAAAGAGCGAGGAAGAAAAGUUACUGUUGGACAAAGCUUCUGUUAAAUCAAAGCAUACUGCUGGAGCAAGCGUACUUAAGUUUUAAGAUCUAAAAAGUGUCACCAAAGUGAUUUCAGUGCCAAGCCUAAAUAUUCUCCUGACCUAAAGCGUCAUUCUUGCAAUUCUGUCGUAAAUCAAGAGAGUCAUGAGCAUCAUAGAUUUUCUUCUUCAAGUUGAUAAACAGCAUAGUAACGCAAGGAGUGACGAGAAAGCUACAAUAGCCUUGAUGGCAAACCAAAUGCGUACUACAAAAUGUCCCAGUUGACAGCGAAUGCAUCAAUGGUAGCAAUGGAUAUUCCAAUGGAGCAACUACAAGGAUCUGCUAGAUCAAAUCCUUGCUACUCGCAUAGAAAUACCUUUCAAACUUCUCAAAACAAGAUAGGAAGUGAAUUUGCUAAGAAUUCUACACACAUCUGCUACUAUAUUCUCAUAUUGAUCACAACAACACAUGGCUCCAACCAAUGCAAAGUCAAAUGUCUUCAUCAACAGUAUUGCUCAAUCAUAAAGUUCUAGACAUGAAAAUCCAAGGUAUUUCACUGGAGAAAGUAAAAGUAUUCGCAGAUGACUAGCAGAAACAAUGUAUUCAGACCCAACAAUUUCAAGAGACAGGGGAAAUAUAGUCAAGCGAAAUCAACAUGAAAUUUUUAAAAGCGAAGGUUAUGCAAAAUUGUCAGUAUUUGAAUCAAGUUAAUUCCGAUAUAUAUUGAAUGCAAGCCGAAUAUGCAGUAUCAUAGUAAUGCUUAUAAUAAUAUGUAAGCCGCAAGAACAGCAGAUAAUUAUCAAGUCAAACAAAGUCAGAGUGCACACCCCCCAAUUAAUUCAUGGAAUUCAAGACAAAAUUAAGUAAUUACUAUCAAAGUUCGACAGUAUUUAGUUUUGGGUGUACUUUGCCAGUGAAUGAGUUGUGUAGUUGUGGCGGCACAAGACUUAUCUAGUUCAGAACUGAGGGCUAUUAAGUGUGUUAAUCCGAGUAAAAUGGAUAAAGAAUCAGCUCAAGGAUGUUUGCAGGAAAUUUGUAUGCUUCACAGACUGAAAGCUCCUUGCAUUAAUCACAUUGAGAUUAAACAACCCUGGGUUUAUGCAUGUUGUUAUGGAAAUAGGUGAUACAGAUUUGAGUUGUUUAUCAUGGAAUAAAGAAAACUUUUUUUAUGUCAUUUUAUGAGUCAUUCAUUCCGAUGUAAAACCAGCUAAUCUCUUAAUAGUACGAGGUAACUUAAAACUCAUAUAUUUCGGCAUCGAAUCAAAUAUUAAUUCCAACAUGAAAUCAUGUACAAGUAGCUUCAUCAAGAAACUCUUACUUUAAAAUUUACGAAAUACUGUAGCAGAUAAGUUACAAAUCCUACGUUUGGUCAUUGGGUUGUAUUUUAUUGACAGACUACUUUACGGCGUAACACCGUUUAAUCAUAUCCGUCAACAGUGGGCUAAAAUCAGUGCUAUAACUGAUCCCAAGCAUAAAAUAAAUUUCCCUCUGACAACCGGGUCCGAACCAGUACCAGUAAUAUUAGUUGACACAAUGCGCAAGCGUCUUCAAUGUGACGCUAAAGCAAGACAUACUUACAGAGGAACAUAAGUGCUUCGAUAUUACCUAGCAUACCACCAAAUUUCCUGAUUAAGAUCAAGCAUGUUCUUUUUGACGAAGAGUGAUACUUGAUGCUGGAGGAAAACCGUGAUCUAUGUUACUGAAAUAAUGAAAAAUGUACUCAUCAUAUACUAGUCGUUAGAUUUUAGUGCAUUAAAAAUUAUAUUUAUAAAUAUGAGAAUUUCGCUAACCGUUUUAAUUGUUAAGAUGUCAGUGUAAAAACUAUUGUAAAAUUAUUUUUCUGUCAAUAGUAAUGAAAGCGGGGCAUGUGGAAUCUAGAAAGAAUCGAUCCAGAGUGUAUUUAUGAACAGAAGAGCACGAAGAAAAUUUGUAAGAAAUGGACGACAAAUGAUGAAUUUUUAAAGAACAUACAAAUUUAGAAUUUGCAAAAUCAUAAAUGCAUGAAGAUUCAGACGAAUUGAUCAAAUUAAUGUCCGUUAUAUUAAAAUAGAAAACUGUACUUUGUACUUACGUCAACUCCGAACCUCAUAUUAGUAAUUAUCAAGCGUAUAAAAGUAUCAAUAUCAUCAAGUAGCAUGGUACACAUUGGUUUAUCUACAAUAUCAUGUCCGAAGAAAGGUACUUGGAAAACAACAAACAUGUAUGAUGUGGUAAAGUUAAAAUAAAUUUACAAGUAAUUUCAAAAUUUGUGCAGUUUCAGUCAUAUGUUACAUAUAUCACCAAGGCUAUUGUUAUAUUGAAUUCUUCUUUUUGUAAGCGUGAAAUUUUUGAUUGUGCAUUAUCAUAUUUAAGCCAGGAUCCAUUAAAAUUUCUGGAAUAAGCAAUAUAGUGUCGUAGUUUUUGUGUUU